RNAcentral lists this ribosomal RNA (264 nucleotides) under uncultured bacterium. Its description in RNAcentral is "partial 16S ribosomal RNA". It matches the Rfam family "Bacterial small subunit ribosomal RNA", at positions 335 to 615 of the family's 1533-position model. The record is from RNAcentral.
UCUCCUACGGGACGCAGCAGUGGGGAAUAUUGCACAAUGGGGGAAACCCUGAUGCAGCAACGCCGCGUGAAGGAAGACGGUUUUCGGAUUGUAAACUUCUGUUCUUAGUGAAGAAAAAUGACGGUAGCUAAGGAGCAAGCCACGGCUAACUACGUGCCAGCAGCCGCGGUAAUACGUAGGUGGCAAGCGUUGUCCGGAAUUACUGGGUGUAAAGGGAGCGCAGGCGGGAAGACAAGUCAGCUGUGAAAAAUAUGGGCUUAACUU